Molecule: long non-coding RNA, 377 nt
Filed under: Setaria viridis
Lineage: Eukaryota; Viridiplantae; Streptophyta; Magnoliopsida; Poales; Poaceae
Description: long non-coding RNA (SVIR_LNC006771)
Source: RNAcentral
ACAAUCUCAGGUCUAAGGACAAAGCGUAUAUGUUGUUUAAAGAGAGAACUACUUCUCGUGUUGGGUCAGUCCUAGCACAUGUCUCCACAUGUGCCCACAUUAUUAGUUCAACAUCUCCAUGUCCAUGACUUGUGAAACAUAGUCAUCGACUAAUACAUGUGCUACUCUAAUAUUCAUGUUUGUCCUCACAUGAACUCCGACUAGGGACAACUUUAGAAUAACCAUAUAAGUAAAGAAUUUCACACACAAUUCACAUAAUUGCAAAACAAUUCAAGUAGCCUUUAAUGGAUAUUCAAGGAACACAAUAUAAAUCAUGGAUACAAAUCGAAUAUCAUCAUCUCUAUGAUUGCCUCUAGGGCAUACCUCCAACAGUCUCC